GUCCAAUCCGAAUGAUUGAACCCACGUAGGUGUGGGGAAGCUGUAGGACGGUGCCAGGAUGGUAGUUUUCCGACUACUAUGAGCAUAAAAUUAUCCCUGAGCUAACCAGUGACGUCUGGAGCGAAUGCCCAGCACUUCUUGGAAAUAGGUGUAAGUUUCCUCAUAUGUGAGAUUUGUGGACCUCCAGUACCCAUAGAGGGGUGGUACUGGAAGGUGUGGACUUCGACCCCCAAGGGUAUCCAGAUUAAACAUUAGUUCACG
This is a non-coding RNA of Pelobates cultripes (western spadefoot toad), 261 nucleotides long. NCBI's taxonomy places the organism in Eukaryota, Metazoa, Chordata, Amphibia, Anura, Pelobatidae. The record is from the annotation of a GenBank genome assembly.